This 467-nucleotide ribosomal RNA is filed under the name uncultured bacterium. Its description in RNAcentral is "bacterial SSU rRNA". It matches the Rfam family "Bacterial small subunit ribosomal RNA", at positions 29 to 469 of the family's 1533-position model. The record is from RNAcentral.
AGCGAACGCUGGCGGCGUGCCUAACACAUGCAAGUCGAACGCGAAAGGGGGGGCAACUCCCCGAGUAGAGUGGCGCACGGGUGAGUAACGCGUGGGUAAUCUGCCUUCGAGUGGGGAAUAACCUCGCGAAAGCGGGGCUAAUACCGCAUAACAUCCUCUCGUCCUUGGAUGGGGGGAUCAAAGAUGACCUCUGCAUGCAAGUUGUCGCUCGAAGAGGAGCCCGCGUCCCAUUAGCUAGUUGGUAGGGUGACGGCCUACCAAGGCGACGAUGGGUAGCCGGCCUGAGAGGGUGACCGGCCACACUGGAACUGAGACACGGUCCAGACUCCUACGGGAGGCAGCAGUGAGGAAUAUUGCGCAAUGGGCGAAAGCCUGACGCAGCGACGCCGCGUGGAGGAUGAAGGCCUUCGGGUCAUAAACUCCUGUCGAGGGGGACGAAAUGGCUCCUUGCUAAUAUCGAGGAGCCU